Molecule: small nucleolar RNA, 119 nt
Filed under: Nicotiana sylvestris (wood tobacco)
Lineage: Eukaryota; Viridiplantae; Streptophyta; Magnoliopsida; Solanales; Solanaceae
Also listed under: 1 other name
Description: Small nucleolar RNA snoR104
Rfam family: Small nucleolar RNA snoR104
Source: Rfam by way of RNAcentral
AGGGAUCACAGUUGAGUUUGAGAUGUAUCCUGAUUCAAUCUUCCUAAAAAGAGUUUCUGGGAUUUCCUACUUGUGGUUCCUGAGAUAGUGCUGCAAGUCUCAAAUAACCAGAUACAUAA